GUUCCGUAGGUGAACCUGCGGAGGGAUCAUUAUUGGAUUUUGAAACUUCAGGCUGCUGCUGGCUCUCCUCGGAGGGCAUGUGCACGCUUGUUGUCCAUUAUUUCUCCCACUGUGCACAAAUUGUAGACCUUUCAGUAGGCCUAUGUUGUUUUUCACAAUCUCUGAAUGUAAUAGAAUGGUUUUGAAUCUUGGGAAAUACAAUACAACUUUCAGCAACGGAUCUCUUGGCUCUC
This 233-nucleotide unclassified non-coding RNA is filed under the name plant metagenome. RNAcentral's name for it is "partial contains small subunit ribosomal RNA, internal transcribed spacer 1, and 5.8S ribosomal RNA". The record is from RNAcentral.